RNAcentral lists this small nucleolar RNA (121 nucleotides) under Echinops telfairi (small Madagascar hedgehog). RNAcentral describes it as "Small nucleolar RNA SNORA61 (ENSETEG00000026373.1)". Lineage: Eukaryota; Metazoa; Chordata; Mammalia; Afrosoricida; Tenrecidae. The record is from RNAcentral.
UCCCUCAGGUUCCUUACCCCUUGGUUUUAAAUAUUGUUCAGAGUGUCUGGAAAAGGGGAGGAAAAGUAAACUGAGGUGGACUUGUAGUCUUUAGUGAUAUAAAAGUCCGUUUCAAACAUAU